Long non-coding RNA from Canis lupus familiaris (dog), 3529 nucleotides. RefSeq lists it as uncharacterized. NCBI's taxonomy places the organism in Eukaryota, Metazoa, Chordata, Mammalia, Carnivora, Canidae. The transcript is spliced from 3 exons. The record is from RefSeq and is a predicted model, not a curated record.
GGAACACUCUGGAGCGCCGGGCAUCCCACAGACACCAAACCAGGGCAGCACCCAAGUAAGACCACUUACCACAGCCAUUUGCAGCACGUGGUGGUCCGCGGAGGGAACCCGGUCUGCAGCCAACGGAGACUCUGCCGACCUGGAGGCCUUUUCUGCUGGUGACUGGCCCAGAUACCAAAGCAGCUCCAACUGGUCAGCCUGGAGCGAGGCACUGGUCCUGUCCUGCAGGGAGGCGUCCAGGCUCAGGGCGUCUGAGCACGGGGUCAGGGGCAGGCUGGGCACAGGCUCCAGGGUGAGGUCCUUCCUGACAACCUCCGGGGAGCUCCAGGAGGACAGGUCCAUUGCCCUGAGUGCGUUCUUCAAGGGCCCGGGCCCCUCCGUAGGGGUCAGGUCAGGGGAGCCACCGUGGAAGUUUGCUUGUAGACAACGUGGUCCUUCCUGCAACUCAACCUUAUCUUCCACGGGAACAUCUAGCAUUUCAUUUCUCAUCAGUGGGUCCUGAUUUCCACUCAGGUCAUUUAGAUCACACGUGGUCUUAUCGAUAUGAAAUGCAUCAACAAGAGAUGAUCUGUCAGUUUCUUCACCAUUACUGGAGCUAUCACUCAAACUAUUUUCUAAAGCACGUGAACAGGCCACCGGCUGCUGAGAUUUGAAAUCCUCUGUCUCAAUGUUCUGAAAGUUCACAGAACGCACCAGGUGGUUCAACUUUUCUUGAAGUUCUUUCACCUGACUUAUGAGACCAACUUUCUGCAGCUGACGAUCUUCCAGUAAAUUUUCCUUAUUCUGCAUAUAAAAAAGAAUACGCAUAGAGUAAGAUAGUUGAACUACACACAGUCACAUCUGUCUGUCUGGUAUUUACAAGCCAGUCUGAGAGGCCGUCUGAACAGUUAACAAUGAGCCUCCACGAGCCCUUGGGUCCCUUCGCAGCUCUUGAGAUUUCAAGCUAUUUUAAUCCCACGAAGGAGGCUCUCGGCCGUGAGCCCCCUGCCUACAGGUGCUUGCUGCAGAGGACUCUGGGAAGGCAGCAGAGCAGGAAGCAGCAGGAGCCUGGCGCCCCCGCGCUGCGCUACACCUGCCCGGGCUGAAGUCUGUCCGCUGUCUCCAACUCUGGAGUCUGUCCAAGGUUUGCAACUUCCCAGGGGGGCCAGAGGGUGCACAUCAGCUGCUACCCAGCCCUGGACCCCAGCCCUGGAGCAGCGAGCACAGGACGAGCACAGGACGUGUGUGAGGCACGGGGGGCCACAGGGGCUGCCCCACCAAUACCAGGCACCUGUGCUCUGGCUGCUGCUCCUGAUCAUGAAGGGCAAAGCCACUGAGGCCAUUGUUGCAGCCCCUCCCACUCUGGCUGAAAUGACCUCCAGGAGAUUUAAAGGGUCACUGCUCUCCUUUCCCACAACAGCAUUUUUCUUUUUUCUUUUUGAGGAGAAAUUAAAUGGGCACAGAGACAGCCUACAACAACCGAACAAGGUGCACCUGAGUGGCUCAGUGGCUGUCUUAAAAUCUCAAAAAAAAAAAAACAAAAAAAAAAACUAAACCAAACAAGCAAAAAACCACAAUAACAAAAAACAGCAAACUAUGAGAAACAGAUUCAGAUUUCUAUAUUUACUAGACUCAAAUGUUCAUCAUUCACAACAAACCAAAAAAAAAAAAAAAAAAAUCCCAAAAUCAGAAGGCAUACAAGGACACAGGAAAGCAAGGCCCAUUCAAAGGAAAAAUACAAAUCAAAAGGAACUGUCCCUGAAAAAGACCAAAUGUCAGAUCUACUAGUCAAAGAUGUUAAAACAGUCCUGAAUACAUUAGAAGAACGAAAGGAGGAUGUGGAGAAAGUGAAGAAAACGAUGUGUGAAUAGAGUAGAAAUACAAAUGGAGAGAAAGAAAAUCUAAAUGAACAAAAAAUUCUGGAGCUGAAAAGUACAAUAAUUAAAAAUUCACUAAAGGGAUUCAAAGGCAGGUUUGAGGAGGAAGAAGAAAGAACUGGUAAACUUAAAGACAGAACAAUGGAAAUAAUCAUCUCUGAGGAAAAAAAAAAAACUAACAAAAGCGAAUUCAGACUAAGGGACCUGUGGGACACCAGCAAACAGAUCAACAUACGCUUUGUGGGAGUCCCAGAAGAUGUGAGAAAGGCGGCUGAAAGAAUUGAGGACAUAAUGACUGAACACUUCCAGAACUGAUGAAGACACAAAUAUAAACAUCCAAGAAACUCAACAAACGCCAAACAAGAUGAACUCAGACACCCCAAAAACACAUUAUAAUCAAAUGUGUAAAAAGCUAAAGGCACUGAGAGAGAAUCCUGAAAGCAAAGUGAAGUGACUUGUCACAUACAAGAAUCCUCAAUAACAUCACCAACAGGUUUCUCAUCAGAAACUUCUGAGGCCAGAGGACAGGGAGUAGUCCGUACACUGAGAGUGCUGAAAGAAAAUCUGUCGACUAAAAAUCCAAUACCCAACAAAACUCCUUUAAGAGUGAGGAAGAAAUCAAGAUAUUCCCAGAUAAAUAAAAGCUAAAGGAGUUCAUGAUCACUACACUUGCCCUGCAAGAAACGCUCAAGGAAGUCUUCCAGGAUGAAAUAAAAGGUGACUAGACAGUAACUCAAAGUCACGUAAAAAAAAAAAAAUAAAGAUCUCAGUAAAGAAAUGCCUGUGGAAAUACAACCACCAAUAAAACGUGACGAUGGGCGUGGUCCCUGACCUGGCACACGAAGCACCCGAAAUAAGGUAGCUUGAAAGACGGACACUCCAUUUGAAAAUGGCUUCCUGUUUGGGUGUGUUCUGUUCACGACUGAGGAGGGCACCCGAUGCCUGAGACUGGCUGAAACCCGGAUUUCACGGACGUCACGCAGCCUGCGAGGGGCGGCACGGAGGACACGCGCUGAGUGUACCCUGGCCCCUUGGGUUCACGCCCCCACAGCUGCCAGGCACCACAGGCAAGGGCUCUGCACUGGGCCACAAAGCCAUCGGCACAGCUGUCUCUUUACAAGCUGGACUCUCUGCUAGAGCUACAAGAGGAGAUUUAAAAACAGGUUCUGCCAUCAGAGAGGUUUGUCUCUUGUGCCGUGUGACUCCAGCCAGCGUCCUCUCAGAGCCACUAGCAGGACGCAGAGGACGGCGCGGGAGGACACAGGCCACCAUCACCCAUCACCCGCCAGGGAGGCUCUGGGUUCUGCCCCCGACUGCACUUUCCAGAGCUGCCCCAGCUGCCGACCUCAGAACGGAAGGCAGGUGCCUCCUGAAACGGCAGAGGACCAUCCCCGGCCUCACGUCUGCAGCCCAUGAUCCACGGUCGCCCGGGGGGCUGCAGCACUGACACGACCAUGAACCCGGCUGUCUGGGGGUCUCCCCGGCGCACCUUCAGGCUGGCGUUCUCCUCCUGAAGUUCCCGCACACUGACGGCCGCACGGCUGCUCUGCGCGUCUAAUUCCAAGUUCAGGUGCAGCACUUCAUCACUCUUACUUACUAGGUCAUCUUUCAUCUUUCCUAAUUGUUCUUUUAAAUCCAAAACCUUUCAUUAAAACAAAAAAUAUUAAAAAUUA